This 724-nucleotide long non-coding RNA is filed under the name Lonchura striata (white-rumped munia). RNAcentral describes it as "domestica (Bengalese finch) lncRNA (ENSLSDG00000000891.1)". The record is from RNAcentral. Lineage: Eukaryota; Metazoa; Chordata; Aves; Passeriformes; Estrildidae.
GCUCCCAGUUUGGCUCCAAGGCCUCCCCCAGUCCCUCCCAGUAUAACCCAGUCCCUCCCAGUAUAACCCAGUCCAUCCCAGUUCCCCCCGAAUCCCCUCCCAGUUCAUCCCAGUGCUCCCAGUUCACCUCUAACUCCAUCCCAGUAUGGCCCAGUUCCCUCCCAGCGCUCCCAGUUCAUCCCAGUUCCGUCCCAGUCCAUCCCAGUAUAACCCAGUCCCUCCCAGUCUGUCCCAGUUCCCUCCCAGUCUGUCCCAGUUCCCUCCCAGUUUGUCCCAGUUCAUCCCAGUUCCCCCCAGUUUGUCCCAGUCCAUCCCAGUUACCCUUCCAUUUUCUCCCAGUUGCUCCCAGUUCACUCCAAAUCCCCUCCCAGUACAUCCCAGUCCCGCCCAGUUUAUCCCAGUUCCCUCCCAGUUCCAUCCCAGUUCGUUCCCAGUUCCAUCCCAGUUUGUCUCAGUUUGCUCCCAGUUCAUCCCAGUUUGUCCCAGUUCCAUCCCAGUUUAUCCCAGUCCAUCCCAGUUCCUCCCAGUUUAUCCCAGUCCAUCCCAGUCCGUCCCAGUCCGUCCCAGUUUAUCCCAGUUCCCUCCCAGUUCCUCCCAGUUUGUCCCAGUUCCCUCCCAGUUUGUCCCAGUUUGUCCCAGUUCCCACCCGGCCUCAUCGCCGCUUUCUCCACGCGGGGCUCGCGCGCCUCUGCCGGAACGGGAAGUGACGUCACAAAUAACGGGA